This 1133-nucleotide long non-coding RNA is filed under the name Suricata suricatta (meerkat). Its description in RNAcentral is "lncRNA (ENSSSUG00005001508.1)". Lineage: Eukaryota; Metazoa; Chordata; Mammalia; Carnivora; Herpestidae. The record is from RNAcentral.
GGGGAAGGCGGGAGGGCAGCGCCUGGAGUGUGAGAGCCACUAUCUCUAAGUUGUUCGUGGUGUGAGGCACAGGGUGUGCCUGUGGGUGCCCGGAGGUGUGGGAGUAUGCACACCAGGGCAGGGUGGGGAAGGCCCCAUUCACACCUUCUCCUACAGGCCUUGUGUCUUGGGGCAGCUCCAGCUUUUUCUGGGCCCCCUCUGCCCUCGACCCUUUUGGGAGGAGGGUGACAGCUGCUCCUACAAAGCCGGGGACAGCUGGGUGGCUGGGGACAGCUGGAUGGGGUGUCUCCCAGCCUCCCUGGCUUCCCAGCACCCCGAGGCUGGACUGCUGGCAGCUGGCUGCUUUGCCUGCAGCCUGUGUGCUUAAGUGUGUAAUUGUUGGGGGGAGGGGAGGCCUAGUGAGGCUCAAACCCAUCCACCCCCACCAGAGUCUCUCCAUAUCCCAUUCUGACUCAUGUAUCUGGAGAGGAAGGACCCCUCCCUCCGCUAAAACGAAACUAGGCCAAGUGGGAAAGAAAUUGGGCAGCUUUCUCUCUUGGCUCCUAACCCUUGGCACAGACGAUGUCCUAGGGUCCCUGACAACUAGAGAAAGGGGCAGUGAGACAGGGGCAGAUGUGAGUGGAGUUAAAUGUCUAUCUGUCCACCAGCACCUGCCCCCAGGCAUCCUUCCACCCUGGGCCGAAGGGGCACUGUGCUCCAACCAUCUGCCCCCUCGCCAUAGUCCCAAACAGGUGCAGGGGAAGAGAAGGGGGCAGGCCAGCUGUUGUCAUCCUGUCCUGGCUCUGGCUUCCUGCCAAAGUGAGGAAGGGGGAGCAAUGAAGGGUCCACCCACCCCACACCAAGUCGUUUUCUAUUCCCACAGGAUGGGAAGACAGCUUCUACUUAGCAGGACCAAGACUCUGGUUUGCUCUGGCCAGCCCAACCUGCCAGGGGAACAGGGCUUGACCAUGCCUUCCACCCCAGGUCCUUACUUUUAUGAGAAGGGGAGUAACUAGGGCUGGGUGCCGCGUGGACCCCUGGCACAGGGCUUACUCAUGGCUUCCUGGGGUAGGAGGCAUUCAGGCCCUGAUUCUACCCAGACAAGGAAGGAGAACUAGGCACAGCAAAGGUUGCCCCUCCUUCUAGAAUGGAAG